RNAcentral lists this microRNA (19 nucleotides) under Rattus norvegicus (Norway rat). RNAcentral's name for it is "rno-miR-3584-3p". The record is from miRBase by way of RNAcentral. Lineage: Eukaryota; Metazoa; Chordata; Mammalia; Rodentia; Muridae.
GCCCGCAUCUCUGGAUCCC